Molecule: unclassified non-coding RNA, 386 nt
Filed under: plant metagenome
Description: partial contains small subunit ribosomal RNA and internal transcribed spacer 1
Source: RNAcentral
AAGUCGUAACAAGGUUUCCGUAGGUCAAGUUUAGCCUGCCACAGCGGGUCAACCUCGCUAGUCUCCGCUGGAGGCGACACGCUCAACCCUGUGGGGAAAGGCCCGCUCCCGGGAAAUCCCACGAGGCCCCAAUUCCCCUUGCGCCCGGUAAGUCGGUUUAGAGGACUCAAUGGAGCGUGGGUGCUGAUCUCAGCGCUUGAGAUCAGAGUCCGUCCCAGCUGGUAGCCGCUGGGGCGACGAACCUGCGAAGUCAUACAAUGACGGCUUGCGAAGCCAGAUUCCUCACCCCGUGUAUACACUAUCUCUGUUGCUUUGGCGGGCGCCUGGCGCCUGCCAGAGGGAAAACCCUUGAAUCUCUGCAGUCUGAGCACGCUAAAUAGUCAAAU